GUUAUUUUGUGCAGCCCAGUUAGCCCAGUUUAACUAGAGUGACCCCUGAGCCUUUUAGUAGCGAGAACAGAAACCUGGCACACAGACAUAACUUGAAGCUCUGGAAGUUGUUUGUUGGUGUGGUCAUGCUUUCCACCAGUGUGCAUUGGGCAUGUCUGCCAGGUGCCUGGCUGGGAGGACCUGGUCAGGGCAGUUGAGAAACAGGUUCUCACAGAGCUAUGAUCUGUGGGAAGAGAAAAUUUCUAAGGAACUACCCAAUAAAUACAGCAUUAUGAAUCUGGUGAGGUGCCAUAUUAAGAAACCAUGGAGCACACAGUGGAGAAGAGUGGGAAAACCUCUCUCUUUUCUGUGCGAAGCAGGUUUUUUUGAGGAGUUGAUGCUGAAAAGACCUGGAAAGAGGAAGCCAGUCUUGAACACACAGGAGGAGUGUCCCUGUGUAUGGUUGAGGUUGGCCCUGUGAGGUGAAAAAUGUACUGUGUGCCAAAAGGCAGUUGCUGUGACCACAACACAGGACAAAUGUCCAUAAGAUUGUGUUAGAAAGGAAUCUAACAGUCAUUUUGGACUUGAACACCUGACCCCCAGCUGGGAACACAUUCACGGUGCUUGGAACCCAAGGCUUCAAGGAAGAGUUGAACAGAGAUGUCACAGGAGCCCUGAGACAUGCAGGCAUCAGUGACAAGGAAUCUUUACAGGUGAAGUUCUGCCCAAGGACCAGGGGAGAGGUUUGGAAAUUGGCAGCCUAUGGAGGCUGUUUACAGAUCUAUAUUUGUGUAUUCACGUUAGGAGAAAAAUAACUUCCCUUGGCCGACCUAGAAUUUGAGGUGGUAUGGGAGAGGGUGGAGGAGGAAACAAGGCAGGCAGGCAGGCAGGCUUGGGGGAAGCUGGGUAAUGGAUUUUGCCCUUGCCAGGAGCUUCCAGGUCCCGGGGUGGGGGGGUGAGGUUAGGCAUCAGUGGGUGGGAGUGACCUUGAUGAGCUUAUCCCUCAGGAUGCUGGGUUUACUGUGAAUGGGAGGCAAGUAGGAGAUGGAGGAGCAGUCUGCUGACACAGCUGUGAGGUUUUGCCUGUGUGAGUGUAUCAGGUGGAUCUAAUGUUUUAAUCUCAGCAGCAUUCUGUGUUUUUAGUUCAAGGAGAACAGGCACACUGCUAUCGUCUGCCACUGAGAACUCCUGGUUGCUGCACUUCAACCAAUGUGGUACCCCAAGUUCACUAGUUAGGAUCUGCUCCAUGCUGUGGGCUGAUUAUAAGUAGGCCUGGAGUUGCCCGUGUGCUCCAUACCCUUCCAAGGUUAAAAGAAUUUUAAACUUAAUUUCUAGUAACCAAGCAGAGCAUUGCUGUAGUGUUGUUUGAUUUGAACCAUACAGCAAACAAAUCUGGAGUUGGAUGGGGCUGUAGGCUGGAGUCUGGGGUCUGCAGAAGUGCACAGAUACUAGGUAUCUUGAUUGAGCUGGGUCCUAUGCAGCCUAAUAAACCGUGCAGUGUGGAGCUGACAGGAGCGACUCAGAGCAGGCCGGGCUGCUGCACUAGCAGCAUUUCCUGUUGUGCCUGGGCAUAGUGAUCAUGGUGUAGGAAGUCGAAGGAGCUAGAGGAUGAGGAGGGGUGGUGAACAGAGGACAGAGUAAUCUUAGUGAUCAUACUAGCUGACCCUCACUUGCCACACACAUUCGUAUACAAUCCCUGGCUUUGCAUUUUAAGUUUAGAAUCAGCCCAAUGUGCUGGGCUGAUGACAUUCCAGUGAUGAUUUUGCACGCAGAAUUCUCUGUCCAAUUUUUCGCUUGUUUUUUUUAAGAUCCUAAGUGCCCAUGGAAUUCAGCAAAUUUAAUUGGAAAAGAAUGAAACCAGAAUGUAUGCUAUGUGAACACAAGGGCCUUCACUGUGGCCACCAGAGGGCGCUGCAGGCUUGCCUGUGAGUGAAGCCAGAGGCCAGCAGGCACCCUCAUUGGAAUAGGGCUGAGACAUGAAGGGCUGUGCUCCCAGCCUGUCUUCCAGGAAACCACAUCUGUCUCCAUUCAUAUUGAGCACUAAUCUUAUUGCCUAGGCUCAGUAGCUCCAGGAGUCAGUGUGGGCAGUGUGGGCAGGAUAGCAUGUGAAGCCAAUGUCACUCAAGAGCAUAUUUCAAAAAAGAAACAAGCAGCAGGUGCUCUGCAUGUUUGGCCAAAUUCUUUUCUGGUGAUUUUUUUUUAAAUGGUCCUAAAGCAAAAUGCUUUGCCAAAAAAAAAAAAAAAAA
Ictidomys tridecemlineatus (thirteen-lined ground squirrel) is the source of this 2225-nucleotide non-coding RNA. NCBI's taxonomy places the organism in Eukaryota, Metazoa, Chordata, Mammalia, Rodentia, Sciuridae. The record is from RefSeq and is a predicted model, not a curated record.